CAUGUUGGAUUAUUUUUGUAACGUGUUGCAAAAUUACAGCCCAGUUUAAUGAACAGAACAUAAUUAUCUGGGGAGAAAUCCAUAACAAAUAUUUUAUUUUCGUUUUAACAGCGUCUACA
Long non-coding RNA from Thalassophryne amazonica, 119 nucleotides. RefSeq lists it as uncharacterized. The transcript has 3 exons. Lineage: Eukaryota; Metazoa; Chordata; Actinopteri; Batrachoidiformes; Batrachoididae. The record is from RefSeq and is a predicted model, not a curated record.